Molecule: small nuclear RNA, 107 nt
Filed under: Carlito syrichta (Philippine tarsier)
Lineage: Eukaryota; Metazoa; Chordata; Mammalia; Primates; Tarsiidae
Source: RNAcentral
AUGCUUAUGUUGGCAGGACAUAUACCAAAAUUGGAAAAAUACAGAGAAGUUUAGCAUGGUCUUUGAGCAAGGAUGACAGGUAAAUUUACAAAGUGUUCCAUAUUAAA